This 935-nucleotide ribosomal RNA is filed under the name Foraminifera sp. AM1. Its description in RNAcentral is "bacterial SSU rRNA". It matches the Rfam family "Eukaryotic small subunit ribosomal RNA", at positions 1176 to 1778 of the family's 1831-position model. Lineage: Eukaryota; Foraminifera. The record is from RNAcentral.
GUGGAGCAUGUGGCUUAAUUUGACUCAACGCGGGAAAUCUUACCGGGUCCGGACAUACUGAGGAUUGACAGGCAAUUGAUGAUUGUUUUGGCGUCAAAACCAAGCUUUCAUCGCUAAAUAUGCUAGUCCUUUCAUGAUUGUGUGAUAGGUGGUGCAUGGCCGUUCUUAGUUCGUGGAGUGAUCUGUCUGCUUAAUUGCGUUUCACUUACAAGGUCAUUAAAAAUUGCUAUGUCUUUGAUGUGUCAUUUUGAUCUUAACGGGUCAUUAUGAUACUCGGACUGCUGCAGUAUGUUUGACCUGAAGGCAACGAACGUGACCGCAGCCUCUUGUUGCCUCUUUCAAAGCACUUUUACACUUGUGUUUAACUACGCAUAGCGUAAUCUGUGUCAAUAGAGGAUAACUAGAGGGACCGCUAGGCUUUUUUAACCAGAGGAAGGUUGCGGCAAUAACAGGUCUGUGAUGCCCUUAGAUGUUCCGGGCUGCACACGUGCUACAAUGAUUGUUGCAGUGAGCAUCUCGAAUUGUAAAAAAUAGUCUGUUUGAUUUAUUUCGAACGGCUAUAAGCCUACUUCGAAAGUCAGUAGGUAAUCAAUUCGAAGUAACGAUUUCCACCCACAUAUAUUUAUGUCUCAUUGUGUCGCAUUUCUUUUUUCUCUUCUCUUUUGAGUCGAGUCAAUGGAUCUGCACUUUUGAUGACAUGUGCUCCAUUAAUUCUUGGUGGGGACAGNCCAUUGUUAAUUGUUGGUCUCGGUCUCAACUAGGAAUGCCUUGUACGGGUCUUUGGUUCAACAAACCACCCGGAAUAUGUCCCUGCCCUUUGUACACACCGCCCGUCGCUCUUACCGAUGGACUUCUCUGUGAGUUUGAGGGACUGGCUCUUUUAUUUUUAUUAAUAUCAGAGCUACGGAAACUUAAACGAACAGUGUGGUCUAAAG